CCUACGGGGGGCUGCAGUGGGGAAUAUUGGACAAUGGGCGAAAGCCUGAUCCAGCCAUGCCGCGUGUGUGAAGAAGGCCUUCGGGUUGUAAAGCACUUUCAGUGGGGAAGAAAGCCUUGGGGCUAAUACCCUCGAGGAAGGACAUCACCCACAGAAGAAGCACCGGCUAACUCCGUGCCAGCAGCCGCGGUAAUACGGAGGGUGCGAGCGUUAAUCGGAAUUACUGGGCGUAAAGCGCGCGUAGGCGGUCUGAUAAGCCGGUUGUGAAAGCCCCGGGCUCAACCUGGGAACGGCAUCCGGAACUGUCAGGCUAGAGUGCAGUAGAGGAAGGUAGAAUUCCCGGUGUAGCGGUGAAAUGCGUAGAGAUCGGGAGGAAUACCAGUGGCGAAGGCGGCCUUCUGGACUGACACUGACGCUGAGGUGCGAAAGCGUGGGUAGCAAACAGGAUUAGAUACCCGAGUAGUC
Molecule: ribosomal RNA, 465 nt
Filed under: Vreelandella stevensii
Lineage: Bacteria; Pseudomonadati; Pseudomonadota; Gammaproteobacteria; Oceanospirillales; Halomonadaceae
Description: partial 16S ribosomal RNA
Rfam family: Bacterial small subunit ribosomal RNA
Source: RNAcentral